This 254-nucleotide ribosomal RNA is filed under the name uncultured bacterium. Its description in RNAcentral is "partial 16S ribosomal RNA". It matches the Rfam family "Bacterial small subunit ribosomal RNA", at positions 524 to 776 of the family's 1533-position model. The record is from RNAcentral.
CACGUAGGGGGCGAGCGUUGUCCGGAAUCAUUGGGCGUAAAGAGCUCGUAGGCGGCUCAGUAAGUCGGGUGUGAAACCCCCAGGCUCAACCUGGGGACGCCACCCGAUACUGCUGUGGCUAGAGUCCAGUAGGGGAGUGUGGAAUUCCCGGUGUAGCGGUGAAAUGCGUAGAGAUGGGGGAGAACACUCGUGGCGAAGGCGGCCAGCUAGACCAGUUCUGACACUGAGGCGCGAUAGCGUGGGGAGCAAACAGG